CGGAGGAGAGAGCGCAGUUGAAAGGUGCGCCGCCUGGAUUGUGAGAGGUGCGGUGGGAUCCUUCCCUCGCACCCUUCCGACAGCUCUUCUUUUGUAUGUUUGUUUGUUUGUUCUAGUUUCGUUAAUGUCAUCAGGGGCCGUUGGAGAGUAAUGUCCGAUGUGAAGCGGGCUUCGCACCAUCGAGUGCAGUGAGCGGCUGCACGUUUGCCAUUGGAAGCGACGCCGCGGAACAGUCGGAAUGAUGCGGUUGCGUUGCUGGAAGCUUUCUACCACUACAGCUGUACAUACUCCUAGCUGACCUCCAACUUGGAGCCGGCAAAGCAUGUGAGAAACAAAAGUUACGAAUAGCUGGCUAAAAUAACUGUCCAGAGAAGGUGUUGUCUAUUUGUGUGAGGUGCUAGCAAGGUAACUUUUAUUUUAUUGUCAUUGAUAUCUAAA
Molecule: long non-coding RNA, 438 nt
Organism: Dermacentor andersoni
Lineage: Eukaryota; Metazoa; Arthropoda; Arachnida; Ixodida; Ixodidae
Source: RefSeq, a predicted model, not a curated record